CAGGCCACGGAAUGGCUGGUCUUGGGAGCAGGCGGUUGAGAUGCCAGGGUUUAGAGGCAAAGGGCUGGGGACUACGAGCCAGGACCUUCCCGCGUCUGCUCUGCGCCCCCGCAGUUUCCUCCGCGCCCACCAGAAGGCGCCGGGGCGCUCGCAUUCCCAGCGCGGAGCCCGAGCAGCUGCAAUCAGCCGGGAGCUGAGCCGCGCUGCCCUGCGGCGUGAGGAGCCGGGCAGCUGCCGGAGCCCUCCCUGCGCUGCUUUUGGGACGCGGCGCCAGGGAUCCCCAGCUUUGCCCCCGGGGCUGGGGUGCAAGUGACUCUGAACUUGGUCCUCGCGCCUCUCCAACCGCCCCCAGGCAGGAAACGCCCAGAACCGCCACCGCGCAGCGCUUCACAAAAGCCGGGAGAGUUCCAAGGCGGGAGGGGUCGGGCGCGCUCCAGAGGCAGGAGGGUCCCCCACACCCUUCAGGCUCACGCCCAGCUCCCCCAUCGGGUAGCCCCCAGCCCCAUGAGGACCCUCAGGCCGGGGCCGAGAGCCCGGCACAGCCCGGACCGAAAUUUUGCCGCUGCCUUAGAACGUUAGACAGGAUGUGGCUGGGCCGCCGGGCCCUGUUCGCGCUGGUCCUGCUGCUCGCCUGCGCCUCGCUGGGGCUCCUGUACGCGAGCACCCGGGACAUGUCCGGCCUCCGGGCACCUUUUGCGCCGUGGGCGCCCCCGCAGAGCCCCCGCAGGCCUGAGCUGCCAGAUCUUGCUCCUGAGCCCCGCUACGCACACAUCCCGGUCAGGAUCAAGGAGCAAGUAGUCGGGCUGCUGGUUCAGAACAACUGCAGUUGUGAGUCCAGCGGGAGGGGCCUUCCCCUCCCAUUCCAGAAACAAGUCCAAGCCAUUGACCUCACCAAGGCCUUUGACCCUGCAGAGCUGAGGACUGCCUCCUCCACAAGAGAGCAGGAGUUCCAGGCCUUUCUGUCAAGGAGCCAGUCGCCAGCUGACCAACUUCUCAUAGCCCCUGCCAACUCCCCACUCCAGUACCCCCUGCAGGGUGUGGAAGUCCAGCCCCUCAGGAGCAUCUUGGUGCCAGGGCUGAGCCUUCAGGCAGCUUCUGGUCAGGAGGUAUACCAGGUGAACCUGACUGCCUCCCUGGGCACCUGGGAUGUGGCAGGGGAAGUGACUGGAGUGACUCUCACUGGAGAGGGGCAGACAGAUCUCACCCUUGUCAGCUCAGGGCUGGACCAACUCAACAGGCAACUACAACUGGUCACUUACAGCAGCCGAAGCUACCAGACCAACACAGCAGACACAGUCCGGUUCUCCACCGAGGGACAUGAGGCUGCCUUCACCAUCCGAAUAAGACACCCCCCCAACCCUCGGCUGUACCCACCUGGGUCUCUACCCAAGGGAGCGCAGUACAACAUCAGCGCUCUAGUCACGAUUGCCACCAAGACCUUCCUCCGUUAUGAUCGGCUACGGGCUCUCCUUGCCAGUAUCCGUCGCUUCUACCCAACAGUCACCGUGGUCAUCGCUGACGACAGCGACAAGCCAGAGCGCAUUAGCGGCCCCUACGUGGAGCACUAUCUCAUGCCCUUCGGCAAGGGCUGGUUCGCGGGCCGGAACCUGGCCGUGUCCCAGGUAACCACCAAAUACGUGCUGUGGGUGGAUGACGACUUCGUUUUCACAGCACGGACGCGGCUGGAGAGGCUUGUGGACGUGCUGGAGCGGACGCCGCUGGACCUGCCUCCCUUUCCCUGCAGGUCGGGGGCGCGGUGCGCGAGAUCUCCGGCUUCGCCACCACCUACCGGCAGCUGCUCAGCGUGGAUCCCGGCGCCCCAGGCCUCGGGAAUUGCCUCCGGCAAAGGCGCGGCUUCCACCACGAGCUCAUCGGCUUCCCAGGCUGCGUAGUCACCGACGGUGUGGUUAACUUCUUCUUGGCGCGGACUGACAAGGUGCGCGAGGUCGGCUUUGAUCCCCGCCUCAGCCGCGUGGCUCACCUGGAAUUCUUCCUGGAUGGGCUUGGUUCCCUUCGGGUUGGCUCCUGCUCCGACGUCGUGGUAGAUCAUGCAUCCAAAUUGAAGCUGCCUUGGACAUCAAGGGAUGCCGGGGCAGAGACUUACGCCCGGUACCGUUACCCAGGAUCACUGGACGAGAGCCAAAUGGCCAAACACCGGCUGCUCUUCUUCAAACACCGGCUGCAGUGCAUGACCUCACAGUGAAGGCCCGCAGGGGAUUUCUGACUGUCAGGCUGGGCCUGCCUCCUUGUCCCUGCCAGGAAUUUCCAGCAAACCCCACCACCCUGUGUGCACUCUACUGACUGUCCCUGAGCCCCUAGUUCCUCACUCUUCCCUUUCCAAACUUGAUGCCCAAUCGGGGUUGUCCUGGUAACACCCCUCCUUUUUCGAGUGCCCAGAGGCCUGGUGGAGCCAUAACCUCUCCCACAGCCAGUGCCAAGUCCUCCCCUCUCCCCAUUCUCAUGGGGCAGGAAAUGGGGGGAUCACUUUCCAAGUGCCAAAGAGCCCAGGGGGACUCUAAGAACCUAAGGUGGAAACACUGUCUGUCCUCUCAUCUUCUUGGGACUGAAGGGGUGGGGAGGUUCUCCAACACAUAAUCUCAAGACAGUGCCCUUCACCUGCAUCUUUAAACCCAGUACUCUGUACACGUGCUCCAGCCCCACCCCCACAGACAGAGCUUGUGGCUCUGGGGCUGGGGCGAGGGCUGGUGAACACAUGGUGAAAGCCAUUCUUAGUGUGUCUUUGCAAUGCUGUGGGCACAAAAGAAGGGGCACCAGAGUCCUUGUGCAAACAGCUAGACUCACUUCAUGGAUUCCAAAGCACUCAGCUUCAUUUUAUUAGUUACAUUAGGUAAGGGGGCUCAGGGCUCAUGAUCCUCAUCACACACAUGUCGCUGGGGCCCUCUGCACUCCAAGUGAUGAGGUCAGACCCACACUGUACAAAUCUUAUGGUCAGUGGGCUCCUGGAGAAGAGAGGAGACAUGUCAGGAAUAGAUUAAGCACCCCUCUCCCUUGAAAUGUGGCAGUCCUCUCAGGGGUACCCCACUAACUUAGGGAUCUGAGUUCUUCAGUUCUUCACCCAUAGCUCAACCCAGGCUCCCUGAGUUGGUCUUCAAUCCACUAUUCAUUCUGGCCCCAUCCUUUUCUUCUUGAUCUUUCUCCACAGACCCUUUCCCAAACCCCUCUCCCUGGGUCUCCAGCCACUUACCCCUGCCUCAUUGGCUGCAGCCUGGCACCUCCCGGCUCCUGCUCCUGGUGCUACUGUCCCCUUAGCAGGCUCCCUAGGGCAUGAGCAGCUGCAUCCUGCACACUCACAAACAGCUGAUCUGGAGUCACCCUGUCCAGGAGUCCUGCCUGGGUCAGCGUCCCCAGCACCGAGGCUAUGGGAGAGGGUGUCAGGCUCUGAGACCCUAAAUCCACACCAGGUCCUUUUCCCUCCUGCAGGCAUCCAGUCAUUGCCCAGGCACUGGGCCCUACCCUUCUCCACACAUCUCACCAUUACACUGAGCCAAGAGGAGGCGGAUCCUAGCAUCUCGACAUCGGCUGGCCAGCUGCAGGGAGGGGCAAAGGGGUGAAGUCCCAGAUCAGAGGGUAUGAGUGAGAUGAUAAGGGGUGUCUCUUCAACCUACCCUCUCCCUCACCUGCACCACUUCUCUGGCCCCAGCAGCAUCUGCAAAGGUGACACCACUGAAGUCUAGGACCACCACUCUGACAGGCUCAGCAGCUAGAAUGGGAGAAGACAGGAGUACCCAGGUGCCACCAAGCAGCAUGCCCAAAUCCUUCUCGUCAUCCCAUCUCACCUGCAACAGUUGGGCCAUCUGGCUUUGAAGUCUCCUAUGAGUAAAGAAGGGCAGUCACCACUCCCAGACACAGCAUGAACGUGCACCCCUUGAGCACAAGGGUCCCCUCAGAACGCCCACUUGCCUCCCGCUCCCUGAGGAUCCACUUCCCUCCUAAAUCAAGCUCCCUCACCGUUCCUCCUUCUCCAAGCCCCAGGUGCCACUCCAGGCUGCGGCGAAACUGCCCACGGGUCCCAAAGUAGAGUGGUGUUGGAUAGCUCAGGAUGCAGAGCCCUGGGACCUGAAGGAGCUAAGAGGUCGGAGGGUCAGAGAAACGUGCGGCCAGUCUUCCCUUCCUUCCGUGGCUGCAGCUCACCCACCUUGUGGCUUCCUUUGAGUGGCCUGUAGAGCUCUGUCCCCUCAGCCUGUCCAAGUGCCAGGCACUGCACCCUAGGGAAGAGGAUGGGGUCAGAUUUCCAGUUAAGCCUGGCCUGGCUGGGGAGUCAUCCCAAGCACCUCAUUCUAUCCCCUGCCCCGACCUCAGCUCUACCCAUCUCUGUGCCCACCUCUGGGUGCGGCAGACCACAGUCAUCAUGGAGAAGACCACACCCACAGCCAGGCCCAGGUCCACACUCAGGGUCACUACAGCCACCCAUGUGACCAUCCACACAGCCUGCAAUACAGGGAGGGGGUGGAUUGCCCAAAAGAAAAGCCAGGCCAUCACUGCUGGGGAAAGAGAUCCAGGGCAGUGACUACCAAGGCAAGUGCUGGGGAGAGAUGACCCAGGAAGGAAAAGACAUGACAGAGGGAAAUAACAGAGGUAAUUGAAUGGGACACACACCAAAUGUAAUGAGCUGCACUAAUUGGGAAGUUACAAAUAUUCAGGCCCAAGGGCUUCAAACCCCACCCUUUCCCUUGCCUGUGAGUAAAGGGUAUUAGGAGUUAUAUGUGUUGAGGGAGUAGGUAGUUUGCAGAAUUUAGGACCAGACAAUUUGCUUUGGUUUAGGGCAGAGGCUGGGGAUGCUAAGAAGAUGGGAGGGGGCAACUGGGGAUAAUGCCAUUUCUCACAAAGUCCAUGCGGCUGAUGCGCCAUAGUUGUGGAAGUUCCUGCAUCUGGAAGAACAGCUGGCGCAUGCUGGAGAUGUUGAUGCAAGCCAGGACAGCCUUGAGGUAGAGGAGGUGGGCUGACUACCUCAGUGUCCUGGAAUACAGCCACCCCUCCCAGCCAUGCUACGCCUCCUCUGCUCCUUACCUUGGGCAGAUAGUAAAAGAAGGGCCCCAGCCACAGCAGUACUGACAGAACCACUAUGCAGGAGAAGAGGCCUGCCAGCUAGAGGGAAGGAGGGGUGGAAGCAAAAAAGGAAGGGAGCCUCCCCCCGCCAGCGUGAGAGCUGGUCUCCCUGCCCACUCUGCCUUGUCUUCCUCAGAAGUCUCCCUUCUCCCAAAUCUCCUUCCACACAACCCCCUUCUUAAUAUUCUGCCAUUCACAUCUAACCGUCCCCUUCCCCCGAUUAAUUAAAUGCAUAUCAUUCGCCAGUCUCCCCAUAGAUGUCUGUUGUUCAAGUUCCCAAGUUUUGCAGCCCACCUCCACCUUAAAAGCCACUGUGGGAUUAUCCUAUAAGCAGGCUAACCACGUGCUUGGGGUACCAGCAAAGUAAGGGAAACCAAAAAUAUUAGGGGGAGACUUUUAUAUGUGAUAUUUCUUUUAAAAGACAAUGUCAUUGUGUGAAAAAAAUAAGAAUUUUAUCUCAAGUUUA
Cebus imitator (Panamanian white-faced capuchin) is the source of this 5533-nucleotide RNA transcript. It is a transcript of the gene named beta-1,4-N-acetyl-galactosaminyltransferase 1, with no coding region annotated. The transcript has 11 exons. The record is from RefSeq and is a predicted model, not a curated record. Lineage: Eukaryota; Metazoa; Chordata; Mammalia; Primates; Cebidae.